AGUUACUGGGAUAGCCCGAGGAAACUCGGAUUAAUACCGGAUAUUCUUAUUUAAUCACAUGAUUUUUUAAGGAAAGGUCAGCCGAACUAAGAUGGGCUCGCGUUCUAUCAGCUAGUUGGUAGGGUAACGGCCUACCAAGGCUACGACGGAUAGCUGGUCUGAGAGGACGAUCAGCCACACUGGGACUGAGACACGGCCCAGACUCCUACGGGAGGCUGCAGCAGGGAAUAUUGUGCAAUGAACGAAAGUUUGACACAGCGACACCGCGUGUGGGAUGACGGAUCUAGGUUUGUAAACCACUUUCAGGAGGGAAGAAAAUGACGGUACCUCCACAAGAAGCCCCGGCCAACUACGUGCCAGCAGCCGCGGUAAUACGUAGGGGGCGAGCGUUGUCCGGAUUUAUUGGGCGUAAAGAGCUCGUAGGCGGUUCAACAAGUCGGUCGUGAAAGUUCAGGGCUUAACCCUGAAAUGUCGAUCGAUACUGUUGUGACUAGGAUAUGGUAGAGGUGAGUGGAAUUCCGAGUGUAGCGGUGAAAUGCGUAGAUAUUCGGAGGAACACCAAUAGCGAAGGCAGCUCACUGGACCGUGAUCGACGCUGAGGAGCGAAAGCUAGGGGAGCAAACAGGAUUAGAUACCCUGGUAGUCCUAGCUGUAAACGAUGGAUACUAGAUGUAGGAAUUGGAUUGACGAUUUCUGUAUCGUAGCUAACGCGUUAAGUAUCCCGCCUGGGGAGUACGGUCGCAAGACUAAAACUCAAAGGAAUUGACGGGACCCCGCACAAGCGGCGGAGCAUGCGGCUUAAUUCGAUGAUACCCGUAGAACCUUACCUGGACUAGACAUAUAGGGAAAAGCUAUAGAAAUAUAGUGUGCGUAAGCGCCCUAUACAGGUGGUGCAUGGCUGUCGUCAGCUCGUGUCGUGAGAUGUU
Molecule: ribosomal RNA, 926 nt
Filed under: marine metagenome
Description: bacterial SSU rRNA
Rfam family: Bacterial small subunit ribosomal RNA
Source: RNAcentral